RNAcentral lists this ribosomal RNA (482 nucleotides) under uncultured bacterium. Its description in RNAcentral is "partial 16S ribosomal RNA". It matches the Rfam family "Bacterial small subunit ribosomal RNA", at positions 30 to 507 of the family's 1533-position model. The record is from RNAcentral.
AUUGAACGCUGGCGGCAUGCUUUACACAUGCAAGUCGAACGGUAACAGGCCGCAAGGUGCUGACGAGUGGCGCACGGGUGAGUAAUGCAUCGGAACGUGCCCAGUCGUGGGGGAUAACUACUCGAAAGGGUAGCUAAUACCGCAUACGAUCUAUGGAUGAAAGCGGGGGACCGUAAGGCCUCGCGCGAUUGGAGCGGCCGAUGUCAGAUUAGGUAGUUGGUGGGGUAAAGGCUCACCAAGCCAACGAUCUGUAGCUGGUCUGAGAGGACGACCAGCCACACUGGGACUGAGACACGGCCCAGACUCCUACGGGAGGCAGCAGUGGGGAAUUUUGGACAAUGGGCGCAAGCCUGAUCCAGCAAUGCCGCGUGCAGGAAGAAGGCCUUCGGGUUGUAAACUGCUUUUGUACGGAACGAAACGGCUCUGGUUAAUACCCGGGGCUAAUGACGGUACCGUAAGAAUAAGCACCGGCUAACUACGUG